This 274-nucleotide ribosomal RNA is filed under the name uncultured bacterium. RNAcentral describes it as "partial 16S ribosomal RNA". It matches the Rfam family "Bacterial small subunit ribosomal RNA", at positions 523 to 796 of the family's 1533-position model. The record is from RNAcentral.
AUACGGAGGGUGCAAGCGUUAUUCGGAAUCACUGGGCGUAAAGGACGCGUAGGCGGGUUGGCAAGUCAGAUGUGAAAUCCUACAGCUUAACUGUAGAACUGCAUUUGAAACUGCUAACCUAGAGUAUUAGAGGGGGAGAUGGAAUUAGUGGUGUAGGGGUAAAAUCCGUAGAUAUCACUAGGAAUACCGAAAGCGAAGGCGAUCUCCUGGAACAUAACUGACGCUAAGGCGUGAAAGCGUGGGGAGCAAACGGGAUUAGAAACCCUAGUAGUCC